This 951-nucleotide long non-coding RNA is filed under the name Equus caballus (horse). RNAcentral's name for it is "lncRNA (ENSECAG00000049035.1)". Lineage: Eukaryota; Metazoa; Chordata; Mammalia; Perissodactyla; Equidae. The record is from RNAcentral.
UUCAGUGUUUCCCAUACAAACAGGUUCUCAUUGCUCAUGCGCAAGAGAGAGAAAAAUCAUCUGAUAUAUUUUAUUAAUAUUUAAAGGAGAAAGGAGAGAGAGAGUCAGACACAGAGACAGAGUAGACACAAGAGGAAAGAAGGCCGUGGGACAACAGAGGCGGAGAUGGGAGCGAUGCAGCCACAAGUCAAGGAACACCAAGGGCUGCUGGCAGCUCCCAGAAGCUGGCAAGAGGCGAGGAAUGACUCUUCCUUAGAGCCUUUGGAAGUAGGAUGGCCCUCAGACACCUUGAUUUCAGACUUCUAGACUCUAAACUAUGUACAUCAUAAUAUAUUUCAAACUCUGUGCAGAUUACAUCAUGUUCACCACCCAAAAACUAAUUAUAGUCCAUCCCCUCACAGGUGGAGCUGAGCUAUUUAUAGCAUCAUCAGGUACUUUUGAUAAUUGAAGAUGAGGAGAUUCUGCACAAUCCUAAAGCCUUUCUUCAUAGAUGGAAUUUGUUUUAAGGAAGCAAAAAACAAAGAUACGUCUGGGAACUUUGACUGAGGGGAAUUGGCAUUUAAACUACAUCUACUGGCUCCAAUAUUGGCACCAGGUUAACAUUCAGUUUCUGGAACUCUUCAUUUCACUUGGGUUCCAAUUAUUCUUGCUCUCUCAUCAAAAAUGUAAAUUCCCUUGUAGGAUCGUGCGGAACAGACACUUAAUAUUUACUCAUCAUUCUCCUAAUUGGUUUCCCAAUCAAUAGUUACUACAGUUGAAAAUUGUCAUUGCUAUGUCUUAGAAAACAAAGAUUAUAUGGAACCAAAACUGUAAAGGCACAAAAGUGAUCAUAAAACACACAUUUUAGGUAUAUGCAAUAAAUUUAACAAAUAUUAAGGGCUUUGAUCUGAAUGUCUGUGUCCUCCUAAAAUUCACAUGUUGGAAUCCUUACGCCCGAUGUUAUGGUGUUAG